GAUGAACGCUGGCGGCGUACUUAACACAUGCAAGUCGAACGGUGAAGGCGGAGCUUGCUCUGCUGGAUCAGUGGCGAACGGGUGAGUAACACGUGAGCAAUCUGCCCCUGACUCUGGGAUAAGCGCUGGAAACGGCGUCUAAUACUGGAUACGAGCUGCGAAGGCAUCUUCAGCAGCUGGAAAGAAUUUCGGUCAGGGAUGAGCUCGCGGCCUAUCAGCUUGUUGGUGAGGUAACGGCUCACCAAGGCGUCGACGGGUAGCCGGCCUGAGAGGGUGACCGGCCACACUGGGACUGAGACACGGCCCAGACUCCUACGGGAGGCAGCAGUGGGGAAUAUUGCACAAUGGGCGAAAGCCUGAUGCAGCAACGCCGCGUGAGGGACGACGGCCUUCGGGUUGUAAACCUCUUUUAGCAGGGAAGAAGCGAAAGUGACGGUACCUGCAGAAAAAGCGCCGGCUAACUACGUG
This 468-nucleotide ribosomal RNA is filed under the name uncultured bacterium. RNAcentral's name for it is "partial 16S ribosomal RNA". It matches the Rfam family "Bacterial small subunit ribosomal RNA", at positions 28 to 507 of the family's 1533-position model. The record is from RNAcentral.